UGGCGGACGGGUGAGUAACGCGUGGGGAACCUGCCCUGUACCGGGGGAUAGCAGCCGGAAACGGCUGAUAAUACCGCAUAAGCGCACGAAUGUCGCAUGACAUGGUGUGAAAAACUCCGGUGGUAUAGGAUGGACCCGCGUCUGAUUAGCCGGUUGGUGGGGUAAAAGCCUACCAAAGCGAAGAUCAGUAGCCGAGUUGAGAGACUGACCGGCCACAUUGGAACUGAGACACGGCCCAGACUCCUACGGGAGGCAGCAGUC
RNAcentral lists this ribosomal RNA (261 nucleotides) under uncultured bacterium. RNAcentral's name for it is "partial 16S ribosomal RNA". It matches the Rfam family "Bacterial small subunit ribosomal RNA", at positions 96 to 355 of the family's 1533-position model. The record is from RNAcentral.